AUGUAGCACUGCCCUGCCUGGCUUGUAAUAGGGAAUUCUAAUAAAGAAUAUCAGCUUAGCUUUCAGGGAGGGCUGGUGAUGGUCACACACAUGCACUAAAUAUUAAAAUAUUUGGCUGCAAGACUAAAAUAUGCAUCGAUCUCAUACAAUGUUGACACCUCUUUUGUGGAGUUAAACAAUGAGAACAAAUGCAGACAAAAAAAAAGAAGUUUCAAUGUGAAAUUUUUAUUUUUUCACAUUUUCAAACUUAUAAACAUAUCAAUUUUGACCUGCAGGACGACACGAGGGUUAAUACAGUCUAAUCUUUCCUCUUAUAACAUGGUGUCACCUUAAAUCAUCUUAAAUCACUGUGCCUCGAAAUAUGUAAAUACAGUAUUGUAUAUGACUUUUAAUACAUUUAGUAUCUCUAUAGAUUUUUAAAUUAGAAGUGUUUUUUAUUUUUAUUGUACUGUAUUGUACAGAAAGUAACUGUAAUUUCCCUUGGGAUAAAUAAAGUAUCUAUCUAUCAAUCUUUCUAUCUUUCUAUCUAUCUAUCUAUCUAUCUAUCCAUCUAUCCAUCUAUCUAUCUAUCUAUCUAUCUAUCUAUCUAUCUAUCUAUCUAUCUAUCUAUCUAUCUAUCUAUCUAUCUAUCUAUCUAUCUAUCUAUCUAUCUAUCUAUCUAUCUAUCUAUCUAUCUAUCUAUCUAUCUAUCUAUCUAUCUAUCUAUCUAUCUAUCCAUCUAUCUACUGAGCUACAGUUUUAGUUGGUAAAUUUACUUAGAGGGACAAAAUGAAUUUGAAGUUUUUUUCAGUUGUUUCUAUUGUGAAGAUGUCAUGGUACAAAAAUAGCCACAUAGUUCCCCACAGCUUCUCUCCUCUUGUGACCCAGAAACUGUUCUCUUUCCACCAUCGUGGAGGAUCUUCCAAUUACUUAAAUGGACCUUGAUGAGAUGAGGAAAGAGGAGAGUUCAGGAGGAGCUUAGAGGGAGGACACACACGUUUAUCUUAAGUUAAAGUCAUUUAUCAAGUGGGAUGACGUAUAAAUGCUGCACCUUAGUGGGUGUUGGUUGGAUUGGACCAGUGAUGCAGCUGUGGUUCAGACUGACUCUGUGUAAUGAAGGUGUUCUCAUUCAGCAUCUUCAGCUCCCCGUUGUCUGGUAUCUUCCUCAGAUGUGUGUCUGAUAUCUGGGAAGUAACAAAAUGAAAAGCACCAAGUGUCCUGUCGGCUACACAUAUAUGUGCAUGUAGGGUGGUUUCAUCAUACACACACUGAUCUUUAGUUUUAUUUCAGACUGCUCUGGUAAAUGCAGCUUGUGUAGACGCUACUAUUAGUGUCACACUGUAUACCACUACUAGCAUAGUACUGUGAUAUCUGACUGUAAAAACAAUACUAAAUCCUGUUUCAUUACGUUUAAAAUGUAAUAAUAAAUGAGAACAUGCUCUCUGUAAAACAGCUUACAAUCUACAUUAUGGUAAUAAAUAUUUAUUGUUGUAAUAACGUUGUUAAUGUGAUGAAAAAUCUGGACAUGAACGGCUGGGUCAAGUGAACAACGGCUGUCAACCACAAGACAUUUAAACAAUUCCUGCAAAAGAGUCAAAGUGUGUGAUUAAAAUGUGCACUAAGAGCUUUUCUGAUUAAUAUAAGAAAGAAUUUUGGCAUUGCAACAAGUUUCUACUUGGUCAUUGACCUUAAAAGUUUGAGAAAAUUUUCAGAAAAGAGCAGUUACUGCAGCGGUGUCAAACGUACAGGACGAAUUUGUAAAGAGUAAAAAUUACAGAGAAGACGUUAACUGCAGAUUGUAAAUUAGUAAAACUAUAAAUUUAAAAUAAAUUGUAGAUCAUGACAAGUUGUUUUCAUCAUAAAGUAAAAUACUAGAUUGCUCACUGUUCUUUUGUCAUUUUGUGUCAUUUUUGUAAUAUUUUGUCUGCAUCUGCUGGAUGUCUAAAAAGACAAUAAUUUGCUAAUAUAUUAGCGAUAUUGGCUUUGAAUGUCAACUCUGUCUGAUUUUUAGCUUCCUGGAAAAGUUCUGCCCCCAUGUGGCCAAAAACAUCUGCCAAAUGCAGCUGUAAAUCUGCACACUUAUUGUUCCACCUGCAUGGAGAGCCUUAUCAGACUCAGCACUUUAGCAUGGAUUGAUAAACAAGGUGGUAACAUCUUUGCCAGAUGUGCUCCUCAAGCCAGAAGCAGAACAAACGAACAACAUGGAUGUCUUGCCCCCCGUCCACAAUAGAACUCCCAUGAGGCAACACACUCAUUCAGACAGCAGCUCCGUUUCAAUAUUCCCAUGAUGAAUUACUGUCAUUGUGUUGCAGGAAUUGGGAGCGCAGCCAGAGCCUAUUGAAGUUUUUCAAUGACAUUAGUGGAACAAUUGUAUCCCGGGAGAUCCUGGGGGCUGCACAGAAGGCAUUGUUCCCCAGGUGGCACAGCAGUGGGUCUGUGCCAGGCGUCCAGCUCUCAAUAUACCAUGACAAUAGGUGUUAAUUGAGGAUAUGAAGAAAGCCACUUCCUCAUGACUUUUACACGAGCGCCACACUUUCUGUCAUUAACCCUUCUAGAACCGGGAAGUUGGACUAAACGUGUCGUUGAUCGGAGCAGCUCGGUGAAGUUGCCGCAGGUUGUAUUUCAACCUGUCAAAACUUGGCUCGUGUACAACCAGGUUGUCUGACUGCUCGUGUUUCUCGUAAUGGGUCUUUAACAUGUCAGAGUAGGACAAACACAAGUGAUAGUAAAGUUAAUGAGGAGUGAAUGUUUUAUUUCUUCAUAGCUGAUGGGGAUAGUCAUCCAUAACAGACCAUUUCUUAGUAUUAUUAGUAACAAAUGUGCUGUUUGUUCUUCUGUCUGCUGUGAAAAGGCCUAAUUUGCUUUCUGAAAUAAAACAAAUGUACCCAAGUGGUGUUAAAGCAGAGCUGUCCUUCCAGUUAACUGGCAGUCAGAAGUCAGCAUGAAGGAAAACAUGUGUUUCCUCAAGCAGCAGAGAUGAAGAGGAAAGAAAAGGAAGGACUUCAGAUUCUCAUGAUUGAAGUAGAUGUCAAGGUUUGGGUGAAGCUGCUUGACCACUUUAUUUAUUAUCUCAUUCUUUUCCUGAGCAAGCUAAGGGAUUUUUCUAAUGUGUUUUUAAAGUGAAGGUCAAGUCACGUCCACAGAAUCUGAAACUGACCCAAGAUUUUAUUGUUUUAAGUGUAUAUGCUCAGACAUUUGUUUUUAAACUAUUUAAUGUUCUUUCACAGAUUUUUCCUGUUUUUGUAAAUUAACCCUCAUGUCGUCCUGCGGGUCAAACUUGACCUGGUUUAAAGUUUGAAAAUGUGAGGAAAAAUAUAUUUUUACAGUGAAACUUCUGAUGUCCACAUUUUUAAAAUUUUUGGGAAAUCUUUGAACAUUUUUUGUUGGAAAAAAGAAAUGUUAAAAAUGUUUCUUAACAACAUUCCCAAAAAAAUCAACCAAAAUCCAGCGAAUUUCGCUGGAUUUAGUUUUGUUUGGUAUGUUGUUUAAUUGUUUUUUACAGUUAAUGUUUUAAUCAAUACUUCUUUUGUGUUUUUACUGGUGGUAAUCUCUAAAAUAACAGUUAAUUGUAAAUUGCUGAUGGAUCAGGGUGCUUUACCGCCUUUCUCAAGCUAAUUUUUGCUCGUUCAGUAACAAUAGUGAGAUGGUUUCAGACCAACAGGAGUCCGGUUGGCUCGAAAUGUACUAAAUUAGUUUAUCAGCACAAUAUUGCACUGAGGUGAGAUGAUGAGUGGUUUAAUGUUAAUGUGGCUGAUCAUGAAACAACUCAGUUUUUCUCUACGUUUCAACAGGAAGCAAUGCGUAAAUUUCCAAGGAAUUCAAAGCUGAAUCAGAUCAUGGAGGCUGCAGGAUGAGGUCUUCACAGCUCACUGUCACCUCCAGGCGAAGUGAUGUGAUCCACAGCAACAUGUGCAGGUGGACAAACAGCCUCCUGGUAACGGGAGGAAGACCACACAUGGUCCAGGGGCCGACCAGACGCCCCGCUGCCGCACAUUUGUAGGACUGUAAUGGGAAUGAGUGUAAGCUACCAACAUGUGAGGCCGUAAAACAGCUCCAGCCCCAGCAGAACUUCAACACACCUCUGCCCCUCCAGAUGUGACCCUGAUGUGUUGGAAACACCAUGGGAAGAGCCUAAACAUCCAGCCAGGAACAGCUUUCUUCUGGCAUCUGGUGGAUCUGGUUUGCAGACCAGGUGACCACACUCUUUCGUCUGGACAGCAACAAGCAGCAGCAGCAGCAGCAGCAGCAGCUUUCCGUGAUGACCAGACGUAGAACUAAACAGGAAAUAUGGGAUUUUAAAGUUGGACCGCAGCAUUUACAGAGUGCGCUGGAAAACACAGCUUAAUUGAAAUGCUUCAGUCACCGGGCCAAAUCUUCAGACAGAGCAUCAUUCAUCUGAGAGCCGUCAUAUUUAAAGCUGGAUUUUAAUGAUGAAAUUCCACCAAAACAUGAUAAAUAAAUAAAAGGCCUAGUGUCUCACAUUUGCACUGGAGCGGAACUGAGUGCUCAAGUCUGAUUUCCUGAAAUAUCUAAAUCACGCUGCUGUCAGGAGAGGUGCUGGUGGUGGGAGAGCUCUGUAAGGAAACGCCUCACAGCGAGCGAGCUGGCAGUCGCUCUGUUUGGAUAAGCCUGCUGGGAUCUGGCCACGAAAAGAAAAAAGGGGCUUGGUUCCAAAAGCCAAAGUGAACUUCAUUAAAUCUGAUGAGAAAAUGAGAAAUUGAUGCCUUUGUCCAAAUGGAAAAAUCAUUUUAUCUGGAAGGAGUGUAUUCAUGGAGCACAGACAUCAGUAUUCAUCCCUGACAUCUGUAAAUCUGUGCAUUUUGUAUUCACUGGAGAAUAUUUCAUGAUAUUCCAUCAGCAGCUUGUUCUGAGCCUCAUUAGACGCAGCAUAUUCAACUGCAGUACAGUGGGUGUACUGGAUAAAGCCCACAAUGGCUCUUUUAGAAGAGGGGUUGUAAUUUUCUUGUCAUUUGCAUGCUGCGUUGAUGCACAAGUCUAUGAGGGAGCACACAGAGAUUCAAUCUCGCUCUACGUCAAGCGAAGUUUGUUUAAAAGGAAGAAACUGCGAGAAGGUUUUCUGUGAUCAAAGUCAUCCGCGAGAACCGAGCUUCGCCUCAAUUUCCAUGGAGGGGCUGAGAAUAAAUGCAUGUUCGCAGUCACGGUAAAUUUACAAACCAGCGAGGGAAAAUGAGAGCUUCGGCUGAGGAAAAGCUUAUGGAAUGAGGCGUUAAAUUAAAUCCAUUUGGACUGUUGACGUCACAGCCAUGCUUUCAACUGCGUCUUAAAAUGUUUGACAUAUUUCUCAGUGGGCCGAGAGAACGAACAUGUUGGCUGACUGCUUAGUAGAUGUUUGUAAUAAUAAGCAUAUUUGAAGCACGUUCAGUGACUGUUACAAGUGU
This is a long non-coding RNA of Amphiprion ocellaris (clown anemonefish), 5378 nucleotides long. RefSeq lists it as uncharacterized. The record is from RefSeq and is a predicted model, not a curated record. Lineage: Eukaryota; Metazoa; Chordata; Actinopteri; Pomacentridae. The transcript has 6 exons.